RNAcentral lists this ribosomal RNA (47 nucleotides) under Sicyos mawhai. Its description in RNAcentral is "partial 25S ribosomal RNA". The record is from RNAcentral. Lineage: Eukaryota; Viridiplantae; Streptophyta; Magnoliopsida; Cucurbitales; Cucurbitaceae.
ACCCCAGGUCAGGCGGGACUACCCGCUGAAUUUAAGCAUAUCAAUAA